Molecule: ribosomal RNA, 430 nt
Filed under: uncultured Alphaproteobacteria bacterium
Lineage: Bacteria; Pseudomonadati; Pseudomonadota; Alphaproteobacteria
Description: bacterial SSU rRNA
Rfam family: Bacterial small subunit ribosomal RNA
Source: RNAcentral
UAGAGUUUGAUCCUGGCUCAGAGCGAACGCUGGCGGCAGGCCUAACACAUGCAAGUCGAGCGCCCCGCAAGGGGAGCGGCAGACGGGAGAGUAACACGUGGGAACGUACCCUUUGGUUCGGAACAACCCAGGGAAACUUGGGCUAAUACCGGAUAAGCCCUUACGGGGAAAGAUUCAUCGCCGAAGGAUCGGCCCGCGUCUGAUUAGCUAGUUGGUGGGGUAACGGCCCACCAAGGCGACGAUCAGUAGCUGGUCUGAGAGGAUGAUCAGCCUCACUGGGACUGAGACACGGCCCAGACUCCUACGGGAGGCAGCAGUGGGGAAUAUUGGACAAUGGGCGCAAGCCUGAUCCAGCCAUGCCGCGUGGGUGAUGAAGGCCCUAGGGUUGUAAAGCCCUUUCGGCGGGGAAGAUAAUGACGGUACCCGCAGA